GACGAACGCUGGCGGCGUGCUUAACACAUGCAAGUCGAACGGAAAGGCCCUGCUUUUGUGGGGUGCUCGAGUGGCGAACGGGUGAGUAACACGUGAGUAACCUGCCCUUGACUUUGGGAUAACUUCAGGAAACUGGGGCUAAUACCGGAUAGGAGCUCCUGCUGCAUGGUGGGGGUUGGAAAGUUUCGGCGGUUGGGGAUGGACUCGCGGCUUAUCAGCUUGUUGGUGGGGUAGUGGCUUACCAAGGCUUUGACGGGUAGCCGGCCUGAGAGGGUGACCGGCCACAUUGGGACUGCGAUACGGCCCAGACUCCUACGGGAGGCAGCAGUGGGGAAUAAUGCACAAUGGGCGGAAGCCUGAUGCAGCAACGCCGCGUGCGGGAUGACGGCCUUCGGGUUGUAAACCGCUUUCGCCUGUGACGAAGCGUGAGUGACGGUAAUGGGUAAAGAAGCACCGGCUAACUACGUG
Molecule: ribosomal RNA, 468 nt
Filed under: uncultured bacterium
Lineage: Bacteria
Description: partial 16S ribosomal RNA
Rfam family: Bacterial small subunit ribosomal RNA
Source: RNAcentral